UACGUAUGGAGCAAGCGUUAUCCGGAUUUACUGGGCGUAAAGGGAGCGUAGGCGGCCUGCCAAGUCUGAUGUGAAAUACCGGGGCUCAACCCCGGGGCUGCAUUGGAAACUGGCAGGCUGGAGUGCCGGAGAGGCAGGCGGAAUUCCUAGUGUAGCGGUGAAAUGCGUAGAUAUUAGGAGGAACACCAGUGGCGAAGGCGACCUGCUAGAACAUAACUGACGCUGAUGCGCGAAAGCGUGGGGAGCAAACAGG
RNAcentral lists this ribosomal RNA (253 nucleotides) under uncultured Lachnospiraceae bacterium. RNAcentral's name for it is "partial 16S ribosomal RNA". It matches the Rfam family "Bacterial small subunit ribosomal RNA", at positions 524 to 776 of the family's 1533-position model. Lineage: Bacteria; Bacillati; Bacillota; Clostridia; Lachnospirales; Lachnospiraceae. The record is from RNAcentral.